RNAcentral lists this ribosomal RNA (457 nucleotides) under uncultured bacterium. Its description in RNAcentral is "bacterial SSU rRNA". It matches the Rfam family "Bacterial small subunit ribosomal RNA", at positions 30 to 504 of the family's 1533-position model. The record is from RNAcentral.
UGAACGCUGGCGGCGUGCUUAACACAUGCAAGUCGAACGGUAACAGCGGAGCUUGCUCCGGCUGACGAGUGGCGCACGGGUGAGUAAUGUAUAGAUAACGUGCCCCGGAGAGUGGGAUAACAGUUGGAAACGACUGCUAAUACUGCAUAUUGCUUUUCUUCAUAAGGAGAAAAGUGAAAUGAAUUUCGCUCCGGGAUCGGUCUGUAUGGUAUCAGCUUGUUGGUGAGGUAAUGGCUCACCAAGGCAAUGACACCUAGCUGGUCUGAGAGGAUGAUCAGCCACACUGGAACUGAGACACGGUCCAGACUCCUACGGGAGGCAGCAGUGGGGAAUAUUGCACAAUGGGGGAAACCCUGAUGCAGCAACGCCGCGUGGAGGAUGACACAUUUCGGUGCGUAAACUCCUUUUAUAAGAGAAGAUAAUGACGGUAUCUUAUGAAUAAGCACCGGCUAACUCC